GGGUUGUGAGGUUAAGCGACUAAGCGUACACGGUGGAUGCCCUGGCAGUCAGAGGCGAUGAAGGACGUGCUAAUCUGCGAAAAGCGUCGGUAAGGUGAUAUGAACCGUUAUAACCGGCGAUGUCCGAAUGGGGAAACCCAGUGCAAUUCGUUGCACUAUCGUUAACUGAAUACAUAGGUUAACGAGGCGAACCGGGGGAACUGAAACAUCUAAGUACCCCGAGGAAAAGAAAUCAACCGAGAUUCCCCCAGUAGCGGCGAGCGAACGGGGAGCAGCCCAGAGUCUGAAUCAGCUUGUGUGUUAGUGGAACGGUCUGGAAAGUCCGACGGUACAGGGUGAUAGUCCCGUACACCAAAAUGCACAGGCUGUGAACUCGAAGAGUAGGGCGGGACACGUGGUAUCCUGUCUGAAUAUGGGGGGACCAUCCUCCAAGGCUAAAUACUCCUGACUGACCGAUAGUGAACCAGUACCGUGAGGGAAAGGCGAAAAGAACCCCGGCGAGGGGAGUGAAAAAGAACCUGAAACCGUGUACGUACAAGCAGUGGGAGCACCUUCGGGUGUGACUGCGUACCUUUUGUAUAAUGGGUCAGCGACUUAUAUUCUGUAGCAAGGUUAACCGUAUAGGGGAGCCGCAGGGAAACCGAGUCUUAACUGGGCGUUAAGUUGCAGGGUAUAGACCCGAAACCCGGUGAUCUAGCCAUGGGCAGGUUGAAGGUUGGGUAACACUAACUGGAGGACCGAACCGACUAAUGUUGAAAAAUUAGCGGAUGACUUGUGGCUGGGGGUGAAAGGCCAAUCAAACCGGGAGAUAGCUGGUUCUCCCCGAAAGCUAUUUAGGUAGCGCCUCGUGAACUCAUCUUCGGGGGUAGAGCACUGUUUCGGCUAGGGGGUCAUCCCGACUUACCAACCCGAUGCAAACUACGAAUACCGAAGAAUGUUAUCACGGGAGACACACGGCGGGUGCUAACGUCCGUCGUGAAGAGGGAAACAACCCAGACCGCCAGCUAAGGUCCCAAAGUCAUGGUUAAGUGGGAAACGAUGUGGGAAGGCACAGACAGCCAGGAUGUUGGCUUAGAAGCAGCCAUCAUUUAAAGAAAGCGUAAUAGCUCACUGGUCGAGUCGGCCUGCGCGGAAGAUGUAACGGGGCUAAACCAUGCACCGAAGCUGCGGCAGCGACACUAUGUGUUGUUGGGUAGGGGAGCGUUCUGUAAGCCUGCGAAGGUGUGCUGUGAGGCAUGCUGGAGGUAUCAGAAGUGCGAAUGCUGACAUAAGUAACGAUAAAGCGGGUGAAAAGCCCGCUCGCCGGAAGACCAAGGGUUCCUGUCCAACGUUAAUCGGGGCAGGGUGAGUCGACCCCUAAGGCGAGGCCGAAAGGCGUAGUCGAUGGGAAACAGGUUAAUAUUCCUGUACUUGGUGUUACUGCGAAGGGGGGACGGAGAAGGCUAUGUUAGCCGGGCGACGGUUGUCCCGGUUUAAGCAUGUAGGCUGGUUGUCCAGGCAAAUCCGGAUAAUCAAGGCUGAGGUGUGAUGACGAGGCACUACGGUGCUGAAGUAACAAAUGCCCUGCUUCCAGGAAAAGCCUCUAAGCAUCAGGUAACAUCAAAUCGUACCCCAAACCGACACAGGUGGUCAGGUAGAGAAUACCAAGGCGCUUGAGAGAACUCGGGUGAAGGAACUAGGCAAAAUGGUGCCGUAACUUCGGGAGAAGGCACGCUGGUGUGUAGGUGAAGCCCCUGCGGGUGGAGCUGAGACCAGUCGAAGAUACCAGCUGGCUGCAACUGUUUAUUAAAAACACAGCACUGUGCAAACACGAAAGUGGACGUAUACGGUGUGACGCCUGCCCGGUGCCGGAAGGUUAAUUGAUGGGGUUAUCCGUAAGGAGAAGCUCUUGAUCGAAGCCCCGGUAAACGGCGGCCGUAACUAUAACGGUCCUAAGGUAGCGAAAUUCCUUGUCGGGUAAGUUCCGACCUGCACGAAUGGCGUAAUGAUGGCCAGGCUGUCUCCACCCGAGACUCAGUGAAAUUGAACUCGCUGUGAAGAUGCAGUGUACCCGCGGCAAGACGGAAAGACCCCGUGAACCUUUACUAUAGCUUGACACUGAACAUUGAGCCUUGAUGUGUAGGAUAGGUGGGAGGCUUUGAAGCGUGGACGCCAGUCUGCGUGGAGCCAACCUUGAAAUACCACCCUUUAAUGUUUGAUGUUCUAACGUUGGCCCCUUACCGGGGUUGCGGACAGUGUCUGGUGGGUAGUUUGACUGGGGCGGUCUCCUCCCAAAGCGUAACGGAGGAGCACGAAGGUUAGCUAAUCCUGGUCGGACAUCAGGAGGUUAGUGCAAUGGCAUAAGCUAGCUUGACUGCGAGCGUGACGGCGCGAGCAGGUGCGAAAGCAGGUCAUAGUGAUCCGGUGGUUCUGAAUGGAAGGGCCAUCGCUCAACGGAUAAAAGGUACUCCGGGGAUAACAGGCUGAUACCGCCCAAGAGUUCAUAUCGACGGCGGUGUUUGGCACCUCGAUGUCGGCUCAUCACAUCCUGGGGCUGAAGUAGGUCCCAAGGGUAUGGCUGUUCGCCAUUUAAAGUGGUACGCGAGCUGGGUUUAGAACGUCGUGAGACAGUUCGGUCCCUAUCUGCCGUGGGCGCUGGAGAAUUGAGGGGGGCUGCUCCUAGUACGAGAGGACCGGAGUGGACGCAUCACUGGUGUUCGGGUUGUCAUGCCAAUGGCACUGCCCGGUAGCUAAAUGCGGAAGAGAUAAGUGCUGAAAGCAUCUAAGCACGAAACUUGCCCCGAGAUGAGUUCUCCCUGAGACUUUAAGUCUCCUGAAGGAACGUU
Molecule: ribosomal RNA, 2825 nt
Filed under: Klebsiella pneumoniae
Lineage: Bacteria; Pseudomonadati; Pseudomonadota; Gammaproteobacteria; Enterobacterales; Enterobacteriaceae
Description: partial 23S ribosomal RNA
Rfam family: Bacterial large subunit ribosomal RNA
Source: RNAcentral